UAGGGAAUCUUCGGCAAUGGGGGGAACCCUGACCGAGCAACGCCGCGUGAGUGAAGAAGGUUUUCGGAUCGUAAAGCUCUGUUGUUAAGGAAGAACGAGUGUGAGAAUGGAAAGUUCAUGCUGUGACGGUACUUAACCAGAAAGGGACGGCUAACUACGUGCCAGCAGCCGCGGUAAUACGUAGGUCCCGAGCGUUGUCCGGAUUUAUUGGGCGUAAAGCGAGCGCAGGCGGUUAGAUAAGUCUGAAGUUAAAGGCAGUGGCUCAACCAUUGUAGGCUUUGGAAACUGUUUAACUUGAGUGCAGAAGAGGAAAGUGGAAUUCCAUGUGUAGCGGUGAAAUGCGCAGAGAUAUGGAGGAACACCAGUGGCGAAGGCGACUUUCUGGUCUGUAACUGACGCUGAUGUGCGAAAGCGUGGGGAUCAAACAGG
Molecule: ribosomal RNA, 429 nt
Filed under: Bacteroidota bacterium
Lineage: Bacteria; Pseudomonadati; Bacteroidota
Description: Bacteroidetes bacterium partial 16S ribosomal RNA
Rfam family: Bacterial small subunit ribosomal RNA
Source: RNAcentral